GUAGGGAGCAAGCGUUGUUCGGAAUCACUGGGCGUAAAGAGCGCGUAGGUGGCUUGGUAAGUCUGUUGUGAAAGCCCACAGCUCAACUGUGGAACUGCGACAGAAACUGCCUGGCUAGAGUGCGGGAGAGGAAAGUGGAAUUCCCAGUGUAGAGGUGAAAUUCGUAGAUACUGGGAGGAACACCGGUGGCGAAGGCGGCUUUCUGGACCGCAACUGACGCUGAGGCGCGAAAGCUAGGGGAGCGAACGGGGGAUUAGAUACCCCGGUAGUCCUAGCCGUAAACGAUGGGCACUAGGUGUAGGGGGUAUCGACCCCUUCUGUGCCCGUAGCUAACGCAUUAAGUGCCCCGCCUGGGGGAGUACGGUCGCAAGACUA
RNAcentral lists this ribosomal RNA (375 nucleotides) under uncultured organism. RNAcentral's name for it is "partial 16S ribosomal RNA". It matches the Rfam family "Bacterial small subunit ribosomal RNA", at positions 527 to 896 of the family's 1533-position model. The record is from RNAcentral.